RNAcentral lists this ribosomal RNA (472 nucleotides) under uncultured bacterium. Its description in RNAcentral is "bacterial SSU rRNA". It matches the Rfam family "Bacterial small subunit ribosomal RNA", at positions 355 to 825 of the family's 1533-position model. The record is from RNAcentral.
UCGAGAAUCUUUCGCAAUGGGCGAAAGCCUGACGAAGCGACGCCGUGUGUAUGAUGAAGGCCUUCGGGUUGUAAAGUACUUUCGCUAGGGAACAAGAGAGGCUGGCUAAUAUCCAGCUAAUUUGAGCGUACCUGGUAAAGAAGCACCGGCUAACUCCGUGCCAGCAGCUGCGGUAAUACGGAGGGUGCAAGCGUUAAUCGGAUUUACUGGGCGUAAAGGGUGCGUAGGCGGAAGGAUAAGUUAGUUGUGAAAGGCCUGGGCUUAACCUAGGAACUGCAAUUAAGACUGUCCAUCUAGAGUUGAGUAGAGGGGAGCGGAAUUUCCGGUGUAGCGGUGAAAUGCGUAGAUAUCCGGAGGAACACCAGUGGCGAAGGCGGCUUUCUGGACCGACACUGACGCUGAGGCGCGAAAGCUAGGGGAGCAAACGGGAUUAGAUACCCUGGUAGUCCCUGAGCGGGCUGGCAAGGCGCAU